UCCAUUAACUUUCCUUUGCUGUAUAGAAAUUUAAUUUCAUGAAGUUCUAUUUUCAAUUUUUUUUUUUUUUUUGCUUUAUUUCCUGUGUUAUGAGAAGACUACUAGAGAUGACCACUCAGACCCAGUCUGUAGCCGAAAUUGAAUGUGUUUAUUCCAGCUGGCUGGCUCUCCACUCAGGGGCAAGUCUACAUCCUGACACACCUCCUGCCUAUUGUGAUAACAUGCAUGUACUAUGCAAUUGGUAGAACCAAGCUUGUUACAGAAGUGAAAACACACGGCUUGUCAUCUUAUGUGAACAGCUCCCAGCAUUCCAAGAAGUUGUCUGUCCUUGGGCAAACGGGGCUAACAGCCUUCCAAGUUUUGGGCUCCAUUGGCAGCCAGAUGGCAUAAUGAAUUCACUGAGACGCAGCAGCUGUGGCCAAGAAUGUGCUGGCCGUGUGUCAGAGCCCUGUGCCUUAACUCUGCGGAGGAG
This is a non-coding RNA of Peromyscus maniculatus bairdii (prairie deer mouse), 472 nucleotides long. NCBI's taxonomy places the organism in Eukaryota, Metazoa, Chordata, Mammalia, Rodentia, Cricetidae. The record is from RefSeq and is a predicted model, not a curated record.